This 500-nucleotide ribosomal RNA is filed under the name uncultured bacterium. RNAcentral describes it as "partial 16S ribosomal RNA". It matches the Rfam family "Bacterial small subunit ribosomal RNA", at positions 30 to 523 of the family's 1533-position model. The record is from RNAcentral.
AUUGAACGCUGGCGGCAUGCCUUACACAUGCAAGUCGAACGGCAGCGGGGACUUCGGUCCGCCGGCGAGUGGCGAACGGGUGAGUAAUGUAUCGGAACGUACCAUUGAGUGGGGGAUAACGUAGCGAAAGUUACGCUAAUACCGCAUAUUCUCUCCGGAGGAAAGCAGGGGACCGCAAGGCCUUGCGCUCUUUGAGCGGCCGAUAUCAGAUUAGCUAGUUGGUGAGGUAAAGACUCACCAAGGCGACGAUCUGUAGCGGGUCUGAGAGGAUGAUCGGCCACACUGGAACUGAGACACGGUCCAGACUCCUACGGGAGGCAGCAGUGGGGAAUUUUGGACAAUGGGGGCAACCCUGAUCCAGCCAUGCCACGUGAGUGAAGAAGGCCUUCGGGUUGUAAAGCUCUUUCGGCCGGGAAAAAAUCGCAUGGGCUAAUACCCUGUGUGGAUGAUGGUACCGGAAUAAGAAGCACCGGCUAACUACGUGCCAGCCGCCGCCGUAA